UCCCGCGCGCGGCGCGUUCCCACGGCGCGGGCGGGCGAAUGAAUGGGCGCGCGCGGAGGGCCCCGCACGGCUCGGUACGGCCCCAUAAUGCUCCGCACGGCUCGGUACGGCCCGGUAAUGCUCCGCACGGCUCGCCCCUCGCGGGACACGCGGCCGCUCCCGGCCCGCGCCGGAGACGUGGACUGAACUUUGGUCCCCAAGCAAUUAAGGUGCCUGAAACUGCACUUCAUUAAUGAUUGUUCCGCAAUAAAACCCAUCAAACUGCCCUUAUUUGCAAUAUAAAACCGCAAUUUGUUUUAA
Molecule: long non-coding RNA, 300 nt
Organism: Pipra filicauda (Wire-tailed manakin)
Lineage: Eukaryota; Metazoa; Chordata; Aves; Passeriformes; Pipridae
Exons: 2
Source: RefSeq, a predicted model, not a curated record